CGGCCUCUCCGGACAGUGGCCUUGAUGGCGGUGGCCCAGGGGGGGAGGUGACCCACGUGGUGGUGGCCUCUGGAGGCAGUGACCCUCGUGGUGGUGGCCCUUGGUGGUCCAAGACAUCUACAGAUGGCCACCAUAAAUGUCAGCCAACUACUUUCCAUUGGGCUGCAUCACCGCAGAGUAGCAGCUGCUGGAGUACUAAUAGAACCUUAGGCUUCCUAUCAGGGGAGGAAAGGCAGAGUUUUUCUAACUGGUUUUCAGGCAAGAAUCUCCCAAAGUAGAAGAAGGGCCAUGUGCUCUCCGCACCAGUGGCUCAUGGCCCUGGCAUCCAGCACGAACUCUAGUUCCUUUUCAGUCAUUUCACAUUUUAUCCUUUCAAAAUGACUGAUACUUUCAUUCCCCCUUUUAAAUAGAAAUGGAAUUAGGUUUCAUUAAUCAGGUUUUCAAAUUAAACCAUUUCUCGUAUUUCACACUCAUUCUUGAAACAAUUUUCUUCAAACUUCAAUUCUUCAAACUUAAGCUUAGUGUUGGAAAAAAAAAAAACAAAAACCAAACCUAACACCACACAAAGGAGGCUGUUAUUGGAGCGGGAGCCACCAUGACCCUCUGGCCCGUCCAACUGCCCCCCAUAUCAUACUGGGGUGAGAAGCAGCUUCCUGUCCCAGAUCAAUCAAGUUCCUGGUACCUAGUUGCAUCAACGUGAGUGAAUUCAUCAGGAUAAUCAGAAGGAAACGCUAUUUGAGCAUUCUGAGAGACAUUAAGUCUUCUCUGGAGUAACAGAAUCUGCCAACUUUCUUUAAAAAAUUGAGAUAUGUUGGACAAACAACAUUGUGGGAUAACCAUCAGUUACAGGCCUCACAGAAGAACCCUCACCAGGAAAGACUCACCAGCUACAGACCCUCCUGUAAGAAGCCCAGCACCCCUACAGUUCAUCUGGUGAGAACCCUCAUCACCCUGAACCCCUACUAGUCUCCAGGGGACCUUCCUUCAAACAGCCCCUCCCAACCUCCUUCUUCUCCAAGAAAUAAUUUCUUCUCCUUUGUGUCUUGGACUUGCCUAUUGUUUUGUUGUAGCACACUUGUCUCUGAUUACAAUCUGUUAUUCCCAAAUAAACCCAUUUUGCUGGUAAAAUAACUGGAUGUUUUAUUACUAAUGUUAACAUAGCUAUCAAAAUUGUCCACUCUAAGUGCAUGUCAAUUGUGAAUAGAACAUAGCAAAAGGAGACAUUGGCUAUUUAUAAAUAUUAAUGUCAAGUUAAAUAUGUUCCAAGUCCAACCUAGGAUAGACAACUUAUGCUUCCUAGUACUUCAUGGGUUUCACUAUCUGCUAUUUUUGUGGGGGUGACACAGAAAAAUCACAGUGAGACCACUUUAGACUGCAUGUGUAGCAGAUCA
Canis lupus familiaris (dog) is the source of this 1391-nucleotide long non-coding RNA. RefSeq lists it as uncharacterized. The transcript has 3 exons. Lineage: Eukaryota; Metazoa; Chordata; Mammalia; Carnivora; Canidae. The record is from RefSeq and is a predicted model, not a curated record.